This 76-nucleotide transfer RNA is filed under the name Lentisphaeria bacterium. RNAcentral describes it as "tRNA-Met". It matches the Rfam family "tRNA". From Rfam's summary of the family: Transfer RNA (tRNA) molecules are approximately 80 nucleotides in length. Their secondary structure includes four short double-helical elements and three loops (D, anti-codon, and T loops). Further hydrogen bonds mediate the characteristic L-shaped molecular structure. tRNAs have two regions of fundamental functional importance: the anti-codon, which is responsible for specific mRNA codon recognition, and the 3' end, to which the tRNAs corresponding amino acid is attached (by aminoacyl-tRNA synthetases). tRNAs cope with the degeneracy of the genetic code in two manners: having more than one tRNA (with a specific anti-codon) for a particular amino acid; and 'wobble' base-pairing, i.e. permitting non-standard base-pairing at the 3rd anti-codon position. Lineage: Bacteria; Pseudomonadati; Lentisphaerota; Lentisphaeria. The record is from RNAcentral.
GGCUGCUUAGCUCAGUCGGUAGAGCGAUGGAAUCAUAAUCCACAGGUCGUUGGUUCGAGUCCGACAGCAGCCACCA